RNAcentral lists this long non-coding RNA (2781 nucleotides) under Canis lupus familiaris (dog). RNAcentral describes it as "lncRNA (ENSCAFG00000053926.1)". The record is from RNAcentral. Lineage: Eukaryota; Metazoa; Chordata; Mammalia; Carnivora; Canidae.
UUUUUUUCUCCUUUAUUUAGGGUAUCUCUCAAAUCCAGUAUAGGUUGACAUAAAUUUAAAAAUGUACGAUGUUCCUUUCUAGAAGUGAAUGUUCAGUCCCGGAGACCCAAGAUAAAAAGAAACAUACAUGAUAAUUAAAACAAUAUCGUAAUGCACAUUUUUAGACUCGAUUGUGCUAGGAAACCACAAGUUUAAGUUCAGAUUCUCUCUUUUCUAACCUAGCAUGGACAGCUUCAUUUCUAGUCUUAUAAGAGAGUCCCAAACGCCAAUAUGAAAAGUGGAAACUAUUGAGAGACAAGUUGUGAAUUUCUCUUGGGUGUGAAUUUUUAGCCCAAAAGAAUGUGAAAAUAUAAAUAGGCAGGGUACUAUAUUGUCAUCCCAUUUCAUUAGGUAUAUAGCUUUAACCAACAUAUUUGGCCACUAUUUAUUUUAUUUACAUGACUAAUGUUUGUUAAUUCUGGAAAGAUUACAACAACCAGGAGAUCUUUUAAGUCACAGUUUUAGUAAUUCCUUCUUAAAUGUUUUAAGGCACAAAGUGAAUGUUUUACUAAUUUCAAGUGGAAAUGGCAAUCAGGGCAAAAGAAUGAAAAAUAAGUCAGCUAAUAGACUAAAAGUGAUCUCAGGGGCAACUGGGUGGCUCACUUGGUUGACCGGUUGAGUGUCUGACUCUUGAUUUCACCUCAGGUCGUGAUCUCAUGGGUCCUGAGAUCUAGCCCUCCCCCCAGGGAGGAGUGAUCCUUGGGGAGUCUGCUUGAGAUUCUCUCUCUCCCUCUCCCCCUCCUGUGCCCCCUCCCGUGUGUGCAUGUGCACAUGCACUCUCUCUCUCUCUCUCAUAAAUAAAAUAAAUCUUAAAAAAAGUGAACCCACACUUAGAAAAAUGACAGAAAACUUGUUAAAGAAUUAUUAUGCCUCUAGAACAUAUUUGCAGUUGUACUAUAUUAUUCACAUGAACAUUUACAACAAUGCUCUUCCAUUUUCUGUACUCCUCUUUUAGUACCAAAGGGGGAAAAUACUGUGGGCCGGGAGUAGACCAAUUGUUCUCAAGCAGGGUCAAUUUUGCCCCCCAGAAGACGUUUGGCAAUGUAUGGAGACACUUUUGGUCAUCACCAAGAGGGGAUGAGGUGCUACUGGCAUCUGGUAGAAGCUGCUAAACAUCCUAUGGUAUGCAGGACGAUCCUCCACAAUAUGGAAUUAUCCUGUCCAAACGUCAAUAACAUCAAGGCUGAAGACUAAAACAAAACAAACAAAAACAAGACAAAACAAAAGGAUGCUCAAUUGAGAUUUUCUUUUCCUAUUGUUUAUCCCUCCUUCCUGGAGCAAAAUUAAUAAAAUACAUAAUAAAACAAUUGUCAUCAUAAUCACCUUCCUGGUUUUAUUGAUGUCUUUAAUUUUCCCUUUAAAAUAAUUUUUCAAAGUUCCAAAGCUGUUCUCGCAGAUAUAGAUUUUUUUUGGAGUGUUGUCUUUUUCUCCUGGUACUUUAAAUCUCAGGUGCUACUUUUUUCGUCCCUCCUCAGGAUCAGACCCUCUAGAAGCAAAACCAGAAUUUUUCUGGGCCUAGCCCAUGGAAUAAUCUGUACUUUCAAAACAAGAGAAGGAAAAAAGAGAAGCCAGGAGCCACAGUCCCUUAUCCCUAGAAACUGGUAAAGUAGCUUUACAAGGAUGUCCCCAAUGGAAUUGAGCAAGUAAGAUGAAAAUGUGGUAGAAAAUUCUAAACUCCUAUGAACUUCGUUUUCUCUCAUUUAAAAAUGAAGACAGGAAACACAAUAAUCUUCCAGCCUCACAUUUCCCAAAAUAUAUUCCUUAACAAUAGCUCUCUCAGAAAAAGGACUCAGUGGUCAAAUAAUAUUAGCAAACAUACUACUGCCAUCCUUGGAGGUCCUCAGUACACAUUAAUAUACUAAAGAUUCUGAGCAGCAGUUCAAUAAAAUCUUUAUUUUGGAGUUAUAAUUAAUCUAGUGUUUCUGAAAGUUGACCAGAGUAAUAUUUUCAUUGUGGUAGGUUUUAUUACCUACUUUGCACCUGUUAACAUUUGGGAAGCACUAACCCAGGUUUUCUAAUGUAGAAUAAAAUCGUUCCCUUUCAUCUCAUCUUAAAGAGCAUAUAUGCUUGCAUAUUUAUGUACGUCAUAAAACGCAAUCUUUUUAAGAUAGUAAAGAAUAAUUCUGAAUGUUCAAAAGCUACCUAGCUAAUGCUGCAUGCACUAAUUACUAAAGAUGUUCAAGAAGUUAAAAAUCCAUCAGGUAAUACAAAACACUCUCCAGUUAAAAACAUUCUUUCCAGCCAAAGCCAGAUAGACUUUCAAAAGCCACCUCAUUUUGUGCUCACAUUAGCCUGUUCAAAGAACAUACAAACCUAAAUGACCAAAAUUCUUUUUUCAGUUAAUAUUUCUGUCAAUGAAGUGAUUUUAUCGCUGGACGGCAUGUAGACUUUAAAUAUUGCAUAUUCAUAAACAAUAUGUGUUUACUCUUUUCAUUCUUGAAAAAUUAAUCUCAUUUCUCUAUCAUUCUUAAAGUCUAUAUUACAUGUAUCAAUCUGAUCUGCUUCUGAGUGAAAAUAAGAGUUAGUAGAGUAAUAACAACAAAGAGCAUGGAAAUGCAUCCAGAACUGCCCCACCUGCUUUACAUGUAGUCUUUCCCUCCCAACAACCCCAAGCAGUGAGAACAAUUAUUAUUCCCAUUUGAGAGCCAAGAUUCAAGCUAACGGCACAAUAUUAACUAUGAUGAUAGAUAUCAGUGGAAUAAGCAUUUUACAUUUAGCAAACCCUUUACAAACAUCAUCCCC